RNAcentral lists this ribosomal RNA (648 nucleotides) under uncultured Sebacinaceae. RNAcentral describes it as "eukaryotic LSU rRNA". The stretch from base 215 to 368 matches the Rfam family "5.8S ribosomal RNA". The record is from RNAcentral. Lineage: Eukaryota; Fungi; Basidiomycota; Agaricomycetes; Sebacinales; Sebacinaceae.
AAAGUCGUAACAAGGUUUCCGUAGGUGAACCUGCGGAAGGAUCAUUAUUGAUUGUGAAUGGUUGCCUUCAGUGCUGGCUCCGGCAAGUGCACGCUGGUGACUUCAAUCCAAUACCCUUGUGAACCAUUGGCCUCUUGCUAGCUUCGGCUGGUAGAGGAUAUUUACACCAACUCGAAUGUAAUGAAAUUAUUGUUGUGCGCAAGCACUAAUGUACAACUUUCAACAACGGAUCUCUUGGCUCUCGCAUCGAUGAAGAACGCAGCGAAAUGCGAUAAGUAAUGUGAAUUGCAGAAUUCAGUGAAUCAUCGAAUCUUUGAACGCACCUUGCACCCUUUGGCAUUCCGAAGGGUAUGCUCGUUUGAGUGUCAUUGUACUCUCACACUUCCAAUUCUUUGGAUUGGGAGUGGUGGACUUGGGUGCUGCUGCGCUUUACUGUGGCUCACCUCAAAUGCAUUAGUGCAACCCUUGGUUAGACAUAGUACGGCGUGAUAAGUGUCUUCGCUGGCGCCUCACUUUGAGGGUGGCUGAUCAGGGGCUCUGUGCUUCAAACCGUCUUUGGACAAUGGCUGACAACUUGACCUCAAAUCGAGUAGGACUACCCGCUGAACUUAAGCAUAUCAAUAAGCGGAGGAAAAGAAACUAACAAGG